GGGGGAAGCUUGGCUCCCUGGAUAGUUAUCGGCGGACGGGUGAGUAACACGUGGGUAACCUGCCUGUAAGACUGGGAUAACUCCGGGAAACCGGGGCUAAUACCGGAUGCUUGUUUGAACCGCAUGGUUCAAACAUAAAAGGUGGCUUCGGCUACCACUUACAGAUGGACCCGCGGCGCAUUAGCUAGUUGGUGAGGUAACGGCUCACCAAGGCGACGAUGCGUAGCCGACCUGAGAGGGUGAUCGGCCACACUGGGACUGAGACACGGCCCAGACUCCUACGGGAGGCAGCAGUAGGGAAUCUUCCGCAAUGGACGAAAGUCUGACGGAGCAACGCCGCGUGAGUGAUGAAGGUUUUCGGAUCGUAAAGCUCUGUUGUUAGGGAAGAACAAGUGCCGUUCAAAUAGGGCGGCACCUUGACGGUACCUAACCAGAAAGCCACGGCUAACUACGUGCCAGCAGCCGCGGUAAUACGUAGGUGGCAAGCGUUGUCCGGAAUUAUUGGGCGUAAAGGGCUCGCAGGCGGUUUCUUAAGUCUGAUGUGAAAGCCCCCGGCUCAACCGGGGAGGGUCAUUGGAAACUGGGGAACUUGAGUGCAGAAGAGGAGAGUGGAAUUCCACGUGUAGCGGUGAAAUGCGUAGAGAUGUGGAGGAACACCAGUGUCGAAGGCGACUCUCUGCUCUGUAACUGACGCUGAGGAGCGAAAGCGUGGG
This 713-nucleotide ribosomal RNA is filed under the name Bacillus amyloliquefaciens. RNAcentral's name for it is "bacterial SSU rRNA". It matches the Rfam family "Bacterial small subunit ribosomal RNA", at positions 66 to 765 of the family's 1533-position model. The record is from RNAcentral. Lineage: Bacteria; Bacillati; Bacillota; Bacilli; Caryophanales; Bacillaceae.